RNAcentral lists this ribosomal RNA (253 nucleotides) under uncultured bacterium. RNAcentral's name for it is "partial 16S ribosomal RNA". It matches the Rfam family "Bacterial small subunit ribosomal RNA", at positions 524 to 776 of the family's 1533-position model. The record is from RNAcentral.
UACGUAGGGAGCAAGCGUUGUCCGGAAUCAUUGGGCGUAAAGCGCGCGUAGGCGGCCCCGUAAGUCCGCUGUGAAAGUCAAAGGCUCAACCUUUGAAAGCCGGUGGAUACUGUGGGGCUAGAGUCCGGAAGAGGCGAGUGGAAUUCCCGGUGUAGCGGUGAAAUGCGCAGAUAUCGGGAGGAACACCGGUGGCGAAGGCGGUUCUCUGGGCCUUACCUGACGCUGAGGAGCGAAAGCGUGGGGAGCGAACAGG